UCCUCUUCGUAAUGUUUCUUGCUCAAAUGAGUAUUCCAGCCACAGUUUGCAUGCAGCUUGCAUAUAUAUAUAUAAGAACAUGUAUGUGUAUAUAUAUAUAGCACUGGUGCUUCUGCAAUCCUGAGAUGCUCAUUUGGGCAAGCAACGUUACAAGAGGA
Molecule: microRNA precursor, 158 nt
Filed under: Malus domestica (apple)
Lineage: Eukaryota; Viridiplantae; Streptophyta; Magnoliopsida; Rosales; Rosaceae
Description: miR828b stem-loop (mdm-MIR828b)
Gene: mdm-MIR828b
Rfam family: MIR828 microRNA precursor family
Source: miRBase by way of RNAcentral